This 254-nucleotide ribosomal RNA is filed under the name uncultured bacterium. Its description in RNAcentral is "partial 16S ribosomal RNA". It matches the Rfam family "Bacterial small subunit ribosomal RNA", at positions 524 to 776 of the family's 1533-position model. The record is from RNAcentral.
UACGUAGGGUGCAAGCGUUAAUCGGAAUUACUGGGCGUAAAGCGUGCGCAGGCGGUUUUGUAAGUUUGUCGUGAAAUCCCCGGGCUCAACCUGGGAAUGGCGAUGAAGACUGCAAGGCUAGAAUCUGGCAGAGGGGGGGUAGAAUUCCACGUGUAGCGGUGAAAUGCGUAGAGAUGUGGAGGAACACCAAUGGCGAAGGCAGCCUUCUGGGCCAACACUGACGCUCAUGCACGAAAGCGUGGGGAGCAAACAGG